GAUUUCGAUACGAUCGGGAUUUUGAUUGACGAGAUUUCGAUUGGCACCGUUCUAAUUCACGUAGCCUUAAACGAUUGCACUUUUAAAUUUAUAUUUUCAAUGCGUAUUGCUAAUUUACUCAAUUAUUUGCUUAAGUUUACUUUGGAUUUUUUGUUUGUUUUUUUGAAUAUUAUGAAAUUAUUCGUAUCUUUUCAACUUCAUUUGUCGUCACGUGUUCGUUUAUGCAGGCACACACAGACACGUCAAUCUGGUUUAAUUUUGUUUUUUUUUUUAAAUUUCGGCUACGUGCGUUUAACAUAGGUUUUAGUUUAAUUGGUUUAUUUACGUUUAGCAAUUGGAAGCCAAGCUAGGACAACAUAGGCUAGAGUAUCGGAGCAGCACGGAGAACAUCAGGAAUCGACAACCACCAACUCGUGGCAGGAUGUCCCCAUCGUUGCAACCUCUGAAGUAAAUUAAUAACGUUUUAGUGAAUAAUUACAAUUUUAAGAAUGAGAGAGUGAGA
Molecule: long non-coding RNA, 502 nt
Organism: Nicrophorus vespilloides
Lineage: Eukaryota; Metazoa; Arthropoda; Insecta; Coleoptera; Silphidae
Exons: 2
Source: RefSeq, a predicted model, not a curated record